AGUUUUUGAAGUUCCUCAGUUUUAUGUGGAAUCCCUUAUCAUGGGUUAUGGAAGCUGCAGCAGUAAUGGCAAUUGUCCUUGCUAAUGGUGGAGGGGAAGGUCCUGACUGGCAGGAUUUUGUAGGGAUUAUUUGCCUACUGUUAAUAAAUUCAACAAUUAGUUUCAUAGAAGAAAAUAAUGCUGGGAAUGCUGCAGCUGCACUUAUGGCCCAUUUGGCUCCCAAAACAAAGGUCCUCAGAGAUGGACAGUGGCAAGAGCAAGAUGCGGCAAUCUUAGUACCAGGAGAUAUAAUUAGCAUAAAGCUUGGAGAUAUCAUACCUGCAGAUGCUCGAUUGCUCAAAGGAGAUCCACUAAAAAUUGACCAGUCAGCUCUUACUGGAGAAUCUCUCCCUGUCACCAAGAGAACAGGUGAUGAAGUAUUUUCUGGUUCAACAUGUAAGCAUGGUGAAAUUGAAGCUGUGGUCAUAGCAACUGGAGUUAACACCUUCUUUGGAAAAGCAGCACACCUAGUUGAUUCCACUGAAGUUGUCGGGCAUUUUCAGAAGGUCCUAACCUCCAUUGGGAAUUUCUGCAUUUGCUCUAUAGCUGUGGGAAUGAUUCUUGAAAUCAUUGUCAUGUUUCCAAUACAGCACCGUUCCUAUAGAGAUGGAAUCAACAACCUUCUUGUUCUCUUGAUUGGAGGAAUACCUAUAGCUAUGCCAACAGUGUUGUCCGUUACACUUGCAAUUGGUUCUCAUCGGCUAUCUCAACAGGGUGCCAUUACCAAGAGGAUGACUGCAAUUGAAGAAAUGGCAGGAAUGGAUGUCCUCUGCAGCGACAAAACUGGAACUCUCACCUUGAAUCGCCUCACAGUUGAUCGAAACCUUAUCGAGGUUUUUAACAAAGAUAUGGACAAAGAAAUAAUUGUCUUACUUGCAGCCAGAGCAUCCAGACUGGAGAAUCAGGAUGCUAUCGAUGCAGCUAUAGUUAACAUGCUUGCUGAUCCAAAGGAGGCACGUGCAAACAUCAAGGAAGUGCACUUUCUGCCAUUCAAUCCAGUGGACAAACGUACUGCAAUUACAUACAUUGAUUCUGAUGGUAACUGGUAUCGUGCCAGCAAAGGAGCUCCUGAGCAGAUCCUAAAUAUGUGCCAAGAGAAGGAUCAGAUUGCUGGAAAAGUUCAUACCAUUAUUGACAAAUUUGCUGAAAGAGGCUUGAGAUCUCUUGGAGUUGCAUUUCAGGAAGUACCUGAAAAGACUAAGGACAGUCCUGGAGGUCCUUGGACAUUUUGUGGGUUGUUGCCCUUGUUUGAUCCUCCUAGACAUGAUAGUGCUGAGACCAUCCGUAGAGCACUUAACCUUGGAGUCGGUGUUAAGAUGAUUACAGGUGAUCAGCUGGCAAUUGCAAAGGAGACAGGGAGACGACUUGGCAUGGGAACGAACAUGUACCCCUCUUCAUCGCUGUUGGGUCGUGACAAGGAUGAAUAUGAAGCUCUUCCAGUGGAUGAGCUCAUUGAGAAGGCAGAUGGCUUUGCU
This 1514-nucleotide unclassified non-coding RNA is filed under the name Hevea brasiliensis (rubber tree). The record is from RNAcentral. Lineage: Eukaryota; Viridiplantae; Streptophyta; Magnoliopsida; Malpighiales; Euphorbiaceae.